This 65-nucleotide transfer RNA is filed under the name Eoneureclipsis hainanensis. RNAcentral describes it as "tRNA-Leu". The record is from RNAcentral. Lineage: Eukaryota; Metazoa; Arthropoda; Insecta; Trichoptera; Psychomyiidae.
UCUAAUAUGGCAGAACAAUGCAUUAAGUUUAAGCCUUAAAAAUAAAGAUUUAUCUUUUUUUAGAA